GCAGGCCUAAUACAUGCAAGUCGAACGGUAACAUUGGUGCUUGCACCAGAUGACGAGUGGCGCACGGGUGCGUAACGCGUAUGCAACCUACCUUUUACUAGAGUAUAGCCCAGAGAAAUUUGGAUUAAUCCUCUAUAACAUCUUUUAAUUUCAUGAUUUUAAGAUUAAAGUUUUAACGGUAAAAGAUGGGCAUGCGUCCUAUUAGUUUGUAGGUGAGGUAACGGCUCACCUAGACUACGAUAGGUAGGGGCCCUGAGAGGGGGAUCCCCCACACUGGUACUGAGACACGGACCAGACUCCUACGGGAGGCAGCAGUAAGGAAUAUUGGACAAUGGACGAAAGUCUGAUCCAGCCAUGCCGCGUGCAGGAUGACAGCCCUACGGGUUGUAAACUGCUUUUAUACAGGAAGAAACACUCCGACGUGUCGGAGCUUGACGGUACUGUAAGAAUAAGG
Molecule: ribosomal RNA, 454 nt
Filed under: uncultured Flavobacteriaceae bacterium
Lineage: Bacteria; Pseudomonadati; Bacteroidota; Flavobacteriia; Flavobacteriales; Flavobacteriaceae
Description: bacterial SSU rRNA
Rfam family: Bacterial small subunit ribosomal RNA
Source: RNAcentral